AUUGAACGCUGGCGGCAGGCCUAACACAUGCAAGUCGAACGGUAACAGGAAGCAGCUUGCUGCUUUGCUGACGAGUGGCGGACGGGUGAGUAAUGUCUGGGAAACUGCCUGAUGGAGGGGGAUAACUACUGGAAACGGUAGCUAAUACCGCAUAACGUCGCAAGACCAAAGAGGGGGACCUUCGGGCCUCUUGCCAUCUGAUGUGCCCAGAUGGGAUUAGCUUGUUGGUGGGGUAACGGCUCACCAAGGCGACGAUCCCUAGCUGGUCUGAGAGGAUGACCAGCCACACUGGAACUGAGACACGGUCCAGACUCCUACGGGAGGCAGCAGUGGGGAAUAUUGCACAAUGGGCGCAAGCCUGAUGCAGCCAUGCCGCGUGUAUGAAGAAGGCCUUCGGGUUGUAAAGUACUUUCAGCGGGGAGGAAGGGAGUAAAGUUAAUACCUUUACUCAUUGACGUUACCCGCAGAAGAAGCACCGGCUAACUCCGUG
RNAcentral lists this ribosomal RNA (490 nucleotides) under uncultured bacterium. RNAcentral's name for it is "partial 16S ribosomal RNA". It matches the Rfam family "Bacterial small subunit ribosomal RNA", at positions 30 to 507 of the family's 1533-position model. The record is from RNAcentral.